This is a long non-coding RNA of Rhipicephalus sanguineus (brown dog tick), 1061 nucleotides long. RefSeq lists it as uncharacterized. The transcript has 2 exons. The record is from RefSeq and is a predicted model, not a curated record. Lineage: Eukaryota; Metazoa; Arthropoda; Arachnida; Ixodida; Ixodidae.
CCUAAUAUAUGGUAACGGCCCUGACAUACUGAAGCUAUCUUUUUAGAAAGAGGCGAUAAGCUAAACACAUGAGAAUCAUGCAUUUUACUGGAGGUUCCAGUGAAGGCAUCAAGGAAGCGCCUCUUGUGGUUCUCCAGCUCUGCGGGAAACUUGAUCACCGAUGGUCCCAGCGUCAUGAGGAACUCCGCUACUCUUUGAAGGACUCGGUACACGGUGCUUUCUGACAUGUCAAAACGGCUUGCCACGGCUCGCAUGCAGGUUUUGUUGGCCGCGUACCUGCGCAGUGGGAUUACAGGUACCCGAAAGUAAAAAGAAACAGCUUCAGAUCACACUGCACUGUAAGCAACGGGCUCAUAGUCAAAUGCAUUUUUAUGCAGGCAUCGUACAAAGAAAAAAAGGGGGGAAGGGGGGAGGUGUAACUAACCAGAUAAAUGUCAAGACAUGCGCUUCCGCAGAUUUCGCUGGAACCCCUCCAUGUGUGCUCGAAGGGCACAUUGAUGAGGCAGCAAACCCUGCGAUCAACUUUUCGGCCACAGGUCGAGCCAGCCUAAAGUGCCUCCGGAACUGCUCAAAAAAAGAAACAAACGGAAACACCACAACGUUUUAAACCUUGAGCAUAAUGCUUUCCUUUUUUUUUCUAUUUUUUACCUCAUGGUCCGAGUACUGCCGAACGACGACCUCGAUAAAACCGACGACUUUGGGCCUCUUCGCGGGAAUGCGGAACAUCCUGUCGAAUUCCCGCUCGUAAGCGAUAGCUUCAGCGUCGCUGUCGCUGUCCGACGAAUCACUCGUGUCGGAACUUGAGCUUUCUGACUCGGAGCUGUCGCUAUCGAGUAGCAGAAGCAAUGCCGCACGCUUUGCCGAGGUAGCCGAGCCGUCCGUGCCGUCCGCCAUUAUCAACACAACUCGCGGCGCACCAGCCGCGCCCCCAAGCAGGCAAACGUGUUAAAGGAAGUGCGUCACGCUGAGUUCCGGCUCACUCCGCCGAUUUCGGCGGAGCAGUUUUUCCUGCUCCACGGAGCGACUCCCGCUCUGAAUCCCCUCCGACUCUCUCAUUGGAA